RNAcentral lists this ribosomal RNA (301 nucleotides) under uncultured bacterium. Its description in RNAcentral is "partial 16S ribosomal RNA". It matches the Rfam family "Bacterial small subunit ribosomal RNA", at positions 509 to 807 of the family's 1533-position model. The record is from RNAcentral.
CAGUCGCCGCGGGAAUACGAAGGUCCCGAGCGUUGUUCGGAAUCACUGGGCGUAAAGGGAGCGUAGGCGGCGUGGUAAGUAAGAUGUGAAAUCCCGGGGCUCAACCCCGGAACUGCAUCCGAUACUGCCAUGCUAGAGGAUUGGAGAGGUAGCUGGAAUUCUUGGUGUAGCAGUGAAAUGCGUGGAGAUCAAGAGGAACACUCGUGGCGAAAGCGAGCUACUGGACAAUAACUGACGCUGAGGCUCGAAGGCCAGGGUAGCGAAAGGGAUUAGAUACCCCUGUAGUCCUUGUCUCUUAUAC